This 293-nucleotide unclassified non-coding RNA is filed under the name uncultured fungus. Its description in RNAcentral is "sequence contains ITS1". Lineage: Eukaryota; Fungi. The record is from RNAcentral.
GGACUACUGGGGUAUCUAAUCCUGUUUGCUACCCACGCUUUCGCGUCUCAGCGUCAGUAUCCGUCCAGGUGGCCGCCUUCGCCGCUGGUGUUCCUCCCGAUAUCUACGAAUUUCACCUCUACACCGGGAAUUCCGCCACCCUCUCCGGUACUCAAGCCAGGCAGUUUCGAACGCACUUCCUCGGUUAAGCCGAGGGCUUUCACAUCCGACUUGCCAAGCCGCCUACACGCGCUUUACGCCCAAUAAUUCCGAACAACGCUUGCACCCUCUGUAUUACCGCGGCUGCUGGCACG